Molecule: long non-coding RNA, 650 nt
Filed under: Homo sapiens (human)
Lineage: Eukaryota; Metazoa; Chordata; Mammalia; Primates; Hominidae
Description: HSALNT0177165
Source: RNAcentral
CCCAGCCUGGGUGUUUCAUGUAAAUGGAAUCAUACAAUAUACUGUAUGACCUUUUGUGUCUGGCUUUCACUUAGCAUAUGUUCGAGGUUCAUCUGUGUUUUGGCAUGUAUCAGCAUCUUAUUUCUUUUUAUGGCUGAAUAAUAUUCCGUUGUAUGGAUAUACCACAUUUUGCUUAUUCAUUCAGCCACUGAUGGACAUUUGGGUUGUUUCUACCUUUUAGCUACUGUGAAUAGUGCUGCUAUCAGCAUUUGUGUGUAAAUAUUUGAAUACUUGUUUUUAGUUCUUUUGUUUUUUGUUUGUUUUGAGACAGUCUCAGUCUGUCACUCAGGUUGGAGUGCAGUGGUGCCAUCUUGGCUCACUGCAACCUCUGCCUCCCAGGCUCAUGCAGAGAAUGGCGUGAACCCGGGAGGCUGAGCUUGCAGUGAGCCGAGAUGGCGCCUCUGCACUCCAGCCUGGGCAACAGAGCGAGACUCCAUCUCAAAAAAAAAAAAAAAAAAAAAUUAGCUGGGCAUGGUGGCAUGUGCCUGUAAUCCCAGCUACUGAGGAGGCUGAGUCAGGAGAAUCGCUUGAACCUGAGAGUCGGAGGUUGCAGUGAGCCGAGAUCGCGCCACUGCACUUCAUCCAGCCUGCUGACAGGGUGAGACUCUCUC